This 87-nucleotide transfer RNA is filed under the name Crocinitomicaceae bacterium TMED45. RNAcentral describes it as "tRNA-Leu". It matches the Rfam family "tRNA". From Rfam's summary of the family: Transfer RNA (tRNA) molecules are approximately 80 nucleotides in length. Their secondary structure includes four short double-helical elements and three loops (D, anti-codon, and T loops). Further hydrogen bonds mediate the characteristic L-shaped molecular structure. tRNAs have two regions of fundamental functional importance: the anti-codon, which is responsible for specific mRNA codon recognition, and the 3' end, to which the tRNAs corresponding amino acid is attached (by aminoacyl-tRNA synthetases). tRNAs cope with the degeneracy of the genetic code in two manners: having more than one tRNA (with a specific anti-codon) for a particular amino acid; and 'wobble' base-pairing, i.e. permitting non-standard base-pairing at the 3rd anti-codon position. The record is from RNAcentral. Lineage: Bacteria; Pseudomonadati; Bacteroidota; Flavobacteriia; Flavobacteriales; Crocinitomicaceae. RNAcentral also lists the same sequence under 2 other names.
GCCCAGGUGCUGAAAUUGGUAGACAGGCAUGGUUGAGGGCCAUGUGUCCGUUAGGGCGUGUGGGUUCGAGUCCCACCCUGGGCACGA